ACAGAGCAAUGGAUAGCGUUUUGGACUUCUGAUCCAAAGGUCGUGGGUUCGAAUCCUACCUGAGGUG
This 67-nucleotide transfer RNA is filed under the name Trichonephila inaurata madagascariensis. Its description in RNAcentral is "tRNA-Arg". The stretch from base 3 to 59 matches the Rfam family "tRNA", at positions 9 to 63 of the family's 71-position model. From Rfam's summary of the family: Transfer RNA (tRNA) molecules are approximately 80 nucleotides in length. The record is from RNAcentral. Lineage: Eukaryota; Metazoa; Arthropoda; Arachnida; Araneae; Nephilidae.